AUUGAACGCUGGCGGCAGGCCUAACACAUGCAAGUCGAACGGUAGCACAGAGAGCUUGCUCUCGGGUGACGAGUGGCGGACGGGUGAGUAAUGUCUGGGAAACUGCCCGAUGGAGGGGGAUAACUACUGGAAGCGGUAGCUAAUACCGCAUAAUGUCGCAAGACCAAAGAGGGGGACCUUCGGGCCUCUUGCCAUCGGAUGUGCCCAGAUGGGAUUAGCUUGUUGGUGAGGUAAUGGCUCACCAAGGCGACGAUCCCUAGCUGGUCUGAGAGGAUGACCAGCCACACUGGAACUGAGACACGGUCCAGACUCCUACGGGAGGCAGCAGUGGGGAAUAUUGCACAAUGGGCGCAAGCCUGAUGCAGCCAUGCCGCGUGUGUGAAGAAGGCCUUCGGGUUGUAAAGCACUUUCAGCGGGGAGGAAGGCAAUGCGGUUAAUAACCGUGUUGAUUGACGUUACCCGCAGAAGAAGCACCGGCUAACUCCGUG
This 488-nucleotide ribosomal RNA is filed under the name uncultured bacterium. RNAcentral's name for it is "partial 16S ribosomal RNA". It matches the Rfam family "Bacterial small subunit ribosomal RNA", at positions 30 to 507 of the family's 1533-position model. The record is from RNAcentral.